This 80-nucleotide small nucleolar RNA is filed under the name Ananas comosus (pineapple). Its description in RNAcentral is "Small nucleolar RNA J33". It matches the Rfam family "Small nucleolar RNA J33". From Rfam's summary of the family: J33 is a member of the C/D class of snoRNA which contain the C (UGAUGA) and D (CUGA) box motifs. Most of the members of the box C/D family function in directing site-specific 2'-O-methylation of substrate RNAs. The record is from Rfam by way of RNAcentral. Lineage: Eukaryota; Viridiplantae; Streptophyta; Magnoliopsida; Poales; Bromeliaceae.
CAGUUAGGGGCAUGAUGUACUACCGAAGAGCUUUAAAACUUCAGGCUUUUCUUGACAUGGCUUCUGAAAGUGGUAUGUUG